UAAGAGGUCCCGCCUGCCCGGUGACUAAUAGUUUAACGGCCGCGGUAUAUUGACCGUGCGAAGGUAGCGUAAUCACUUGUCUUUUAAAUGAAGACCCGUAUGAAUGGCAUAACGAGGGCUUAACUGUCUCCUUUUUCCAGUCAAUGAAAUUGAUCUCCCCGUGCAGAAGCGGGGAUGAAAACAUAAGACGAGAAGACCCUGUGGAGCUUUAGACACCAAAGCAGACCAUCCUGUCACUCCCCUAGACAAAAGAAUUUGACUAAAUGACCCCUGCCCUAAUGUCUUCGGUUGGGGCGACCAUGGGGAAGUACAAAACCCCCACGUGGAACGAGAGAACUCUCAAAACCAAGAGCUACAACUCUAAUAAACAGAAUUUCUGACCAAAAAUGAUCCGGGAUUACCGAUCAACGGACCAAGUUACCCCAGGGAUAACAGCGCAAUCCUCUUCUAGAGUCCAUAUCGACAAGGGGGUUUACGACCUCGAUGUUGGAUCAGGACAUCCUAAUGGUGCAG
Molecule: ribosomal RNA, 513 nt
Filed under: Oligoplites saurus (leatherjack)
Lineage: Eukaryota; Metazoa; Chordata; Actinopteri; Carangiformes; Carangidae
Description: partial 16S ribosomal RNA
Rfam family: Bacterial large subunit ribosomal RNA
Source: RNAcentral